AUGUCUGCCAGCCACUGUGCAGCUCCACUGCAGUGGUUGGUGGUUGAAUGCUUUGCUCAAGGGCAUUUCGAGGAGCAAUUAGGGAGGAGCAAGUGCUACUCGUUAAUUUCCCCAACUCAAAUGUAAAUGUGACCUCAAUAUAUUAGUUGACAACAAUAUGUGCUCUUGUGUUCCAUUUGUCAAUGUGAUGUAAUGUCUUAUUCCUGCCACAUGGGGGCUCUAGUGACCACACAUUUAGGUAAACGUAACAAAUCACUGUUUGGCCAUGCAGGGAGUUUCAUGUUGAGACUUCUGUGUGAAAAAUAAGUAUCGAAGAGAAUAAUAUUGUAUCACUGCACUUGGCUUUCAUCUCUACGGUCUCCUCGUAUUAGUCACGUCAGCAGGGCCACAGAGGCAGGAGGCCGAAUGCAGAGGCCCUGGAGGAGGGAUCCUGUAAUGGCGUCCUCAUUUUUAUUGUCUUGUGACUGCAAAGACAACAAAGCAACAGCUGAUUAAAAUCGGCACAGCAGGAAAUGGGACUUCGGGAGCUGAGAUCAACGUGUCUUCAAACAACGAUGCAGCGCCUGUCUCUCGAUCACAUCGUGCAAUGAUUUCUGACAGCAACGCUGCAAAGCACUGUGGACAAGACGACGAUGUGCCCUCCACUCCUCAUUAUAGUCCCCCAAAGAGAUAGUGUGCCCUCCCCCAGACACAAUAUCACCUGAUGCAAAUCAGUACAGGU
Molecule: long non-coding RNA, 721 nt
Organism: Cyclopterus lumpus (lumpfish)
Lineage: Eukaryota; Metazoa; Chordata; Actinopteri; Perciformes; Cyclopteridae
Exons: 3
Source: RefSeq, a predicted model, not a curated record